Molecule: ribosomal RNA, 536 nt
Filed under: [Candida] sp.
Lineage: Eukaryota; Fungi; Ascomycota; Saccharomycetes; Saccharomycetales
Description: partial large subunit ribosomal RNA
Rfam family: Eukaryotic large subunit ribosomal RNA
Source: RNAcentral
GCCUUAGUAGCGGCGAGUGAAGCGGCAAUAGCUCAAAUUUGAAAUCUGGCGUCUUCGGCGUCCGAGUUGUAAUUUGAAGAAGGUAUCUUUGAGGCUGGCUCUUGUCUAUGUUCCUUGGAACAGGACGUCACAGAGGGUGAGAAUCCCGUGCGAUGAGAUGCCCAGUUUCGUGUAAAGUUCCUUCGACGAGUCGAGUUGUUUGGGAAUGCAGCUCUAAGUGGGUGGUAAAUUCCAUCUAAAGCUAAAUAUUGGCGAGAGACCGAUAGCGAACAAGUACUGUGAAGGAAAGAUGAAAAGAACUUUGAAAAGAGAGUGAAAAAGUACGUGAAAUUGUUGAAAGGGAAGGGCUUGAGGUCAGACUUGGUUUACCAGGCCAGCAUCAGUUUGGACGGCAGGAUAAUAGCUAAGGAAUGUGGCAGCACUUCGGUGUUGUGUUAUAGCCUUGGUUGAUACUGCCUGUCUAGACUGAGGACUGCGUCUUUGACUAGGAUGCUGGCAUAAUGACCUUAAGCCGCCCGUCUUGAAACACGGACCAA